GAGGGAAAGAGAUAGAUACUUAUUGUAAAAUGUUUUAAUUGUGGUAUAGCUUCUUUAAAACCUAUUUAAUCAGCUUAUAUAUACACAUUGUGAUAGCUGAAUAACCAACAGACACUAACAACAAAUAACUCAUAGCUGUGUGGCUGCUCAGAUCCAUGUGUGCCUAAAUUGACAUCAUCUACAAAUCUGUUCCAAAGAUAAAAUAUUCCAAAAAAUAUUGCAGAGGAUACCUGAUGAAUGGAAGUUAUAAACUGAAUCUCAAAGUAGAUACCGGUUGUAGCUUGUGAAGACGGUGGGCUGCUGGACCCCUGCUUUGUUGGGAUCUACUCACUGACUCAGUCAUCAAUAAAGUAAAAUAUAGAAACUGCAGAUAUAAUCAUGACAGACACAUUUUCUUUAUAACCCAAACUUUUUAGUAGUCCUUAUAAUGCCAAUAAUUAGAUAUAUUUUUUUAAUCUUUGCAACAAAAUAGGGCUGGGUAGUGGAGAUUUAGAUUUGAGGUAAACAUUUUAUUUUUAUAAAAUUUUGAACUAGAUUUUCUAGUUAUAAUGGAGCUCAGAACGUCUGUUAGGUCAGCUUCCUCACUGCCACCAAGAGACCCUGGAGCGCUGGACUGGGGUCUGUGGAGACUUUUUCCACUGGACAAG
Non-coding RNA from Pelobates cultripes (western spadefoot toad), 647 nucleotides. NCBI's taxonomy places the organism in Eukaryota, Metazoa, Chordata, Amphibia, Anura, Pelobatidae. The record is from the annotation of a GenBank genome assembly.